UACGUAGGUGGCAAGCGUUGUCCGGAUUUAUUGGGUUUAAAGGGUGCGUAGGCGGUUCAUUAAGUCAGUGGUGAAAUCCGGCAGCUUAACUGUCGAGGUGCCAUUGAUACUGGUGAACUUGAGUACUGAUGAGGUAGGCGGAAUGGACGGUGUAGCGGUGAAAUGCUUAGAGAUCGGGCAGAACACCGAUAGCGAAGGCAGCUUACUAAGGAGUAACUGACGCUGAGGCACGAAAGUGUGGGGAUCAAACAGG
RNAcentral lists this ribosomal RNA (253 nucleotides) under uncultured bacterium. RNAcentral's name for it is "partial 16S ribosomal RNA". It matches the Rfam family "Bacterial small subunit ribosomal RNA", at positions 524 to 776 of the family's 1533-position model. The record is from RNAcentral.